UAACAAGGAUUCCCUCAGUAACGGCGAGUGAACAGGGAACAAGCUCAAAGUUGGAAUCUAUCUGGCUUAGCCAGAUCGAAUUGUAAACUUUAGAGUCGUUGUCCAGACCAGCCGAGUAAAUAAGUUCCUUGGAAUAGGACAUCAUGGAGGGUGAGAAUCCCGUCUUUGGCUUGAGCAUUGGUCUUUUGUGAUGCGACUUCAACGAGUCAGGUUGUUUGGGAAUGCAGCCUUAAUUGGGUGGUAAAUCUCACCUAAAGCUAAAUAUUGGCGAGAGACCGAUAGCGAACAAGUACCGUGAGGGAAAGAUGAAAAGAACUUUGAAAAGAGAGUUAAACAGUAUGUGAAAUUGCUAAAAGGGAACCGUUUGAAGUCAGUCUGGCUGGUCUGCAAUCAGCUUCAACUUUGGUUGGAGUGCACUUGUAGGCCAUUUUGCCUGCCAACAACAGUUUGUUCUGCAGCAAAAAGGUGUUGAGAAUGUAGCUUUCUCUUUGGAGAAAGUGUUAUAGCUCUUCGCGAAAUACUGUGGUUCAGACUGAGGCUUGCAGUGAAUGCUAUUUUGGCUUUGGGGAUGGAUUGCUCAGUGCUUUGCUUGGUUAGUUUUCGGCCGUCAAACGUCGCGCUGGCUAAAUAAAGUCUGACUCGGUUCAUUCACUUUUAAUUCACUUUGGAUGAUGGCUUAAUGA
Molecule: ribosomal RNA, 683 nt
Filed under: Apophysomyces elegans
Lineage: Eukaryota; Fungi; Mucoromycota; Mucoromycetes; Mucorales; Mucoraceae
Description: eukaryotic LSU rRNA
Rfam family: Eukaryotic large subunit ribosomal RNA
Source: RNAcentral